Molecule: ribosomal RNA, 484 nt
Filed under: uncultured bacterium
Lineage: Bacteria
Description: partial 16S ribosomal RNA
Rfam family: Bacterial small subunit ribosomal RNA
Source: RNAcentral
AUUGAACGCUGGCGGCAUGCCUUACACAUGCAAGUCGAACGGCAGCACGGGUGCUUGCACCUGGUGGCGAGUGGCGAACGGGUGAGUAAUACAUCGGAACAUGUCCUGUAGUGGGGAUAGCCCGGCGAAAGCCGGAUUAAUACCGCAUACGAUCUACGGAUGAAAGCGGGGGACCUUCGGGCCUCGCGCUAUAGGGUUGGCCGAUGGCUGAUUAGCUAGUUGGUGGGGUAAAGGCCUACCAAGGCGACGAUCAGUAGCUGGUCUGAGAGGACGACCAGCCACACUGGGACUGAGACACGGCCCAGACUCCUACGGGAGGCAGCAGUGGGGAAUUUUGGACAAUGGGCGAAAGCCUGAUCCAGCAAUGCCGCGUGUGUGAAGAAGGCCUUCAGGUUGUAAAGCACUUUUGUCCGGAAAGAAAUCCUUGGCCCUAAUACGGUCGGGGGAUGACGGUACCGGAAGAAUAAGCACCGGCUAACUACGU